RNAcentral lists this transfer RNA (71 nucleotides) under Acinetobacter phage vB_AbaM_B09_Aci05. It matches the Rfam family "tRNA". From Rfam's summary of the family: Transfer RNA (tRNA) molecules are approximately 80 nucleotides in length. Their secondary structure includes four short double-helical elements and three loops (D, anti-codon, and T loops). Further hydrogen bonds mediate the characteristic L-shaped molecular structure. tRNAs have two regions of fundamental functional importance: the anti-codon, which is responsible for specific mRNA codon recognition, and the 3' end, to which the tRNAs corresponding amino acid is attached (by aminoacyl-tRNA synthetases). tRNAs cope with the degeneracy of the genetic code in two manners: having more than one tRNA (with a specific anti-codon) for a particular amino acid; and 'wobble' base-pairing, i.e. permitting non-standard base-pairing at the 3rd anti-codon position. Lineage: Duplodnaviria; Heunggongvirae; Uroviricota; Caudoviricetes; Luriaviridae. The record is from Rfam by way of RNAcentral. RNAcentral also lists the same sequence under 1 other name.
UCUCGUGUGAUGUAACGGUAGCAUACUUGUUUUGUAGUCAAGUAGUUCGGGUUCAAAUCCUGACAUGAGAA